Molecule: long non-coding RNA, 1335 nt
Organism: Bubalus bubalis (water buffalo)
Lineage: Eukaryota; Metazoa; Chordata; Mammalia; Artiodactyla; Bovidae
Exons: 4
Source: RefSeq, a predicted model, not a curated record
GAGCUUCAUUAACCUAUUUGCAGGUGCUCUGCUUUCCGAGCUGCCUGUGCUCAGAAAAAAAAAAAAACAACAACACCACUUUCAAAAUUCUCUGACGCAGCCUGCCGCCUCAGUUCAGAGGUAGAUGACUGAGACUGCAGAACAGCUGCAGAGCAUUUAACUGACCGGAAAGACCAGAACUGAGAACACUUCCCUGGAGGCCAGAACCCGCACUGAAGAAGAGGCUGAUAACCAACCUGGGAAGCUUAAUCAAGCCAAGCUCUUCCUGCCAGGCAUCUUAGCAUGCAUCUCAUGAUUCGGAUGCCAUCCCAGAGGAACAAAUGUCCCCCAUCAGCGGAGACCUGAAGGCCAGAGACAGUCCCCUGGGCCAAGGCAGUAAAGCCUUUGGUCAAGCUGGGGCCUGGCCCCACCCCGUAAGUGUCUCCCUGCUCUGGAGAGGGCGUGCCGAGAGGCGGGCACGGAAGGAGACCAGUCCGCAGCCUGAGCUGCAGCACCAGCCUCCUCGCCUGACAGUUCACCCACAAGAGGAAAGUGAAGUCUGCUCCACCUUCCUUUUCCAUGGACAAGGGCAGAGAUUUUAAUUAUAAUGAGUUCUGGAAAGUCACCCUCAUUUUCUGAGAGAGAGGAAACGUGGCCCUGUUUUUUCUUUCUCUUAGAAAGAUGAAGCAGCAGACACUUGGUACAUACAUUAGAGAAAAAGAAGUCAAUAGACCACAACACAAAGAAGAUAAAUGGAUGACCAAUAUCGAUCCAAAUAGAACAAAGACUGUUUCAACGUCCGCCCCCAAAACACAGUUUCAGGAGUUUCUAACGAAUCAGUAUGCAGACGUUUCUUAAAUACCUAUUGAAUGGCACUGUUCUAGUGGUUUUUGUGCUAACUGAAUUCCCUAAUCGAGGUGGAUUUAUGAGUAGGAAAAAAAAAUGUGGUGCCGUCUAAGCAGGAAGAGAAAGCCAGCAGUCAUGUAUUCCAUGCAUGCUCUGACACAGUGUUUCCGAAGGCCAGGUCACCCACCUGUUGGCUAUUUUAGGAAGGGGGAUUCUGGAGGCAGCUGGGGCUCUGCCGUAAAUAACUUGCACCCCGAUGUUCUAGCACUGAGCCCUGCUUGUCACAUCUUUCUAAGAGACCUGGAUUUUGGAGAUGCCUCAGGUGACCACUCCCUCUGGAGCCCCAGAAAAUGACAGAGGCUGCCAAGUGGUCACCAUCACUUUCUUCCCAUCAGCCCUUGCCCCUUGCAAGCUGGCUCUUGGCUUCCAAGGACUUUCUGCUGUUUGAAGGCCGGCAGAACAGCAGCUGCCUGAGAAUAAUCACUGUGACUGUUGAGGCUAUUGGUGACC